This 371-nucleotide ribosomal RNA is filed under the name uncultured Helicobacter sp. Its description in RNAcentral is "bacterial SSU rRNA". It matches the Rfam family "Bacterial small subunit ribosomal RNA", at positions 275 to 667 of the family's 1533-position model. The record is from RNAcentral. Lineage: Bacteria; Pseudomonadati; Campylobacterota; Epsilonproteobacteria; Campylobacterales; Helicobacteraceae.
UAUGACGGGUNUCCGGCCUGAGAGGGUGAUCGGACACACUGGAACUGAGACACGGUCCAGACUCCUACGGGAGGCAGCAGUAGGGAAUAUUGCUCAAUGGGCGAAAGCCUGAAGCAGCAACGCCGCGUGGAGGAUGAAGGUUUUAGGAUUGUAAACUCCUUUUGUUAGAGAAGAUAAUGACGGUAUCUAACGAAUAAGCACCGGCUAACUCCGUGCCAGCAGCCGCGGUAAUACGGAGGGUGCAAGCGUUACUCGGAAUCACUGGGCGUAAAGAUGCGUAGCGGGAAGGUAAGUCAGAUGUGAAAUCCUGUACUUAACUACAGAACUGCAUUUGAAACUACUUUUCUAGAUGUGGGAGAGGUAGGUGGAAU